ACGAACGCUGGCGGCGUGCCUAAUACAUGCAAGUCGAACGGUCUUUCUAUGGAAGCUUGCUUCCACUGAGAAGAUAGUGGCGAACGGGUGAGUAACACGUGGGUAACCUGCCCAUAAGAGGGGGAUAACAUCCGGAAACGGGUGCUAAUACCGCAUAGUUUUUCUUGAUCGCAUGAUUGAGAAAGGAAAGACGGCCUUUGUGCUGUCGCUUAUGGAUGGACCCGCGGCGUAUUAGUUAGUUGGUGAGGUAACGGCUCACCAAGACGAUGAUACGUAGCCGACCUGAGAGGGUGAUCGGCCACAUUGGGACUGAGACACGGCCCAAACUCCUACGGGAGGCAGCAGUAGGGAAUCUUCCGCAAUGGACGAAAGUCUGACGGAGCAACGCCGCGUGAGUGAAGAAGGGUUUUUUCGGAUACGUAAAACUCUGUUGUCAGAGAAGAACAAGUUGGAGAGUAACUGCUCCAGCCUUGACGGUAUCUGACCAGAAAGCCACGGCUAACUACGUGCCAGCAGCGGC
Molecule: ribosomal RNA, 520 nt
Filed under: uncultured bacterium
Lineage: Bacteria
Description: bacterial SSU rRNA
Rfam family: Bacterial small subunit ribosomal RNA
Source: RNAcentral